Molecule: transfer RNA, 63 nt
Filed under: Mycopsylla proxima
Lineage: Eukaryota; Metazoa; Arthropoda; Insecta; Hemiptera; Carsidaridae
Description: tRNA-Arg
Source: RNAcentral
AAUCAUGAAGUAAAAAAUUACUAUUAAUUUCGACCUAAUAUAUGAGAAAUUUCUCCAUGAAUU